GAUGAACGCUGGCGGCGUGCCUAAUACAUGCAAGUCGAGCGAACGGACGAGAAGCUUGCUUCUCUGAUGUUAGCGGCGGACGGGUGAGUAACACGUGGAUAACCUACCUAUAAGACUGGGAUAACUUCGGGAAACCGGAGCUAAUACCGGAUAAUAUUUUGAACCGCAUGGUUCAAAAGUGAAAGACGGUCUUGCUGUCACUUAUAGAUGGAUCCGCGCUGCAUUAGCUAGUUGGUAAGGUAACGGCUUACCAAGGCAACGAUGCAUAGCCGACCUGAGAGGGUGAUCGGCCACACUGGAACUGAGGCACGGUCCAGACUCCUACGGGAGGCAGCAGUAGGGAAUCUUCCGCAAUGGGCGAAAGCCUGACGGAGCAACGCCGCGUGAGUGAUGAAGGUCUUCGGAUCGUAAAACUCUGUUAUUAGGGAAGAACAUAUGUGUAAGUAACUGUGCACAUCUUGACGGUACCUAAUCAGAAAGCCACGGCUAACUACGUGCCAGCAGCCGCGGUAAUACGUAGGUGGCAAGCGUUAUCCGGAAUUAUUGGGCGUAAGCGCGCGUAGGCGGUUUUUUAAGUCUGAUGUGAAAGCCCACGGCUCAACCGUGGAGGGUCAUUGGAAACUGGAAAACUUGAGUGCAGAAGAGGAAAGUGGAAUUCCAUGUGUAGCGGUGAAAUGCGCAGAGAUAUGGAGGAACACCAGUGGCGAAGGCGACUUUCUGGCCUGUAACUGACGCUGAUGUGCGAAAGCGUGGGGAUCAAACAGGAUUAGAUACCCUGGUAGUCCACGCCGUAAACGAUGAGUGCUAAGUGUUAGGGGGUUUCCGCCCCUUAGUGCUGCAGCUAACGCAUUAAGCACUCCGCCUGGGGAGUACGACCGCAAGGUUGAAACUCAAAGGAAUUGACGGGGACCCGCACAAGCGGUGGAGCAUGUGGUUUAAUUCGAAGCAACGCGAAGAACCUUACCAAAUCUUGACAUCCUUUGACAACUCUAGAGAUAGAGCCUUCCCCUUCGGGGGACAAAGUGACAGGUGGUGCAUGGUUGUCGUCAGCUCGUGUCGUGAGAUGUUGGGUUAAGUCCCGCAACGAGCGCAACCCUUAAGCUUAGUUGCCAUCAUUAAGUUGGGCACUCUAAGUUGACUGCCGGUGACAAACCGGAGGAAGGUGGGGAUGACGUCAAAUCAUCAUGCCCCUUAUGAUUUGGGCUACACACGUGCUACAAUGGACAAUACAAAGGGCAGCGAAACCGCGAGGUCAAACAAAUCCCAUAAAGUUGUUCUCAGUUCGGAUUGUAGUCUGCAACUCGACUACAUGAAGCUGGAAUCGCUAGUAAUCGUAGAUCAGCAUGCUACGGUGAAUACGUUCCCGGGUCU
RNAcentral lists this ribosomal RNA (1371 nucleotides) under uncultured bacterium. RNAcentral describes it as "bacterial SSU rRNA". It matches the Rfam family "Bacterial small subunit ribosomal RNA", at positions 28 to 1381 of the family's 1533-position model. The record is from RNAcentral.